Molecule: ribosomal RNA, 434 nt
Filed under: uncultured bacterium
Lineage: Bacteria
Description: partial 16S ribosomal RNA
Rfam family: Bacterial small subunit ribosomal RNA
Source: RNAcentral
AGCGAACGCUGGCGGCAGGCCUAACACAUGCAAGUCGAACGAACCUUUCGGGGUUAGUGGCGGACGGGUGAGUAACACGUGGGAACGUGCCUUUAGGUUCGGAAUAACUCAGGGAAACUUGUGCUAAUACCGAAUGUGCCCUUCGGUGGAAAGAUUAAUCGCCUUUAGAGCGGCCCGCGUCUGAUUAGCUAGUUGGUUGAGGUAAUGGCUCACCAAGGCGACGAUCAGUAGCUGGUCUGAGAGGAUGAUCAGCCACAUUGGGACUGAGACACGGCCCAAACUCCUACGGGAGGCAGCAGUGGGGAAUCUUGCGCAAUGGGCGAAAGCCUGACGCAGCCAUGCCGCGUGAAUGAUGAAGGUCUUAGGAUUGUAAAAUUCUUUAACCGGGGACGAUAAUGACGGUACCCGGAGAAGAAGCCCCGGCUAACUUCGUG